CAGUAGUCACGAGUUUGAUCAUGGCUCAGGAUGAACGCUAGCGGCAGGCUUAACACAUGCAAGUCGAGGGGUUAUUGGUUUUUCGGACCAAGAGACCGGCGCACGGGUGCGUAACGCGUAUGCAAUCUACCUUUUGCAGAGGGAUAGCCCAGAGAAAUUUGGAUUAAUACCUCAUAGUAUAGUACUUUGGCAUCAAGGAACUAUUAAAGUCACAACGGCAAAAGAUGAGCAUGCGUCCCAUUAGCUAGUUGGUAAGGUAACGGCUUACCAAGGCUACGAUGGGUAGGGGUCCUGAGAGGGAGAUCCCCCACACUGGUACUGAGACACGGACCAGACUCCUACGGGAGGCAGCAGUGGGGGAAUAUUGGACAAUGGGCGAAAGCCUGAUCCAGCAAUGCCGCGUGAGUGAUGAAGGCCUUCGGGUUGUAAAGCUCUUUUACUCGGGACGAUAAUGACGGUACCGAGAGAAUAAGCCCCGGCUAACUCCGUG
RNAcentral lists this ribosomal RNA (490 nucleotides) under uncultured bacterium. RNAcentral's name for it is "bacterial SSU rRNA". It matches the Rfam family "Bacterial small subunit ribosomal RNA", at positions 1 to 507 of the family's 1533-position model. The record is from RNAcentral.